GAUGAACGCUGGCGGCGUGCCUAAUACAUGCAAGUCGAGCGAACAGACGAGGAGCUUGCUCCUCUGACGUUAGCGGCGGACGGGUGAGUAACACGUGGAUAACCUACCUAUAAGACUGGGAUAACUUCGGGAAACCGGAGCUAAUACCGGAUAAUAUAUUGAACCGCAUGGUUCAAUAGUGAAAGACGGUUUUGCUGUCACUUAUAGAUGGAUCCGCGCCGCAUUAGCUAGUUGGUAAGGUAACGGCUUACCAAGGCAACGAUGCGUAGCCGACCUGAGAGGGUGAUCGGCCACACUGGAACUGAGACACGGUCCAGACUCCUACGGGAGGCAGCAGUAGGGAAUCUUCCGCAAUGGGCGAAAGCUUGACGGAGCAACGCCGCGUGAGUGAUGAAGGUCUUCGGAUCGUAAAACUCUGUUAUUAGGGAAGAACAAAUGUGUAAGUAACGAUGCACGUCUUGACGGUACCUAAUCAGAAAGCCACGGCUAACUACGG
RNAcentral lists this ribosomal RNA (496 nucleotides) under uncultured bacterium. RNAcentral's name for it is "partial 16S ribosomal RNA". It matches the Rfam family "Bacterial small subunit ribosomal RNA", at positions 28 to 506 of the family's 1533-position model. The record is from RNAcentral.